GCGAAUGGUGGAUGCCUUGACUGGUAAAGGCGAUGAAGGACGUACUAGACUGCGAUAAGCUACGGGGAGCUGUCAAGAAGCUUUGAUCCGUAGAUUUCCGAAUGGGGCAACCCAAUGUAUAGAGAUAUACAUUACCUAUAUAGGAGCGAACGAGGGGAAUUGAAACAUCUUAGUACCCUCAGGAAAAGAAAUCAAUAGAGAUUGCGUCAGUAGCGGCGAGCGAAAGCGCAAGAGGGCAAACCCAGUGCUUGCACUGGGGGUUGUAGGACUGCAAUGUGCAAGAGCUGAGUUUAGCAGAACAUUCUGGAAAGUAUAGCCAUAGAGGGUGAUAGUCCCGUAUGCGAAAAACAAAGCUUAGCUAGCAGUAUCCUGAGUAGGGCGGGACACGAGGAAUCCUGUCUGAAUCCGGGUCGACCACGAUCCAACCCUAAAUACUAAUACCAGAUCGAUAGUGCACAAGUACCGUGAGGGAAAGGUGAAAAGAACUGAGGUGAUCAGAGUGAAAUAGAACCUGAAACCAUUUGCUUACAAUCAUUCAGAGCACUAUGUAGCAAUACAGUGUGAUGGACUGCCUUUUGCAUAAUGAGCCUGCGAGUUGUGGUGUCUGGCAAGGUUAAGCAAACGCGAAGCCGUAGCGAAAGCGAGUCUGAAUAGGGCGCUUAGUCAGAUGCUGCAGACCCGAAACGAAGUGAUCUAUCCAUGAGCAAGUUGAAGCUAGUGUAAGAACUAGUGGAGGACUGAACCCAUAGGCGUUGAAAAGCCCCGGGAUGACUUGUGGAUAGGGGUGAAAGGCCAAUCAAACUUCGUGAUAGCUGGUUCUCUCCGAAAUAUAUUUAGGUAUAGCGUUGUGUCGUAAUAUAAGGGGGUAGAGCACUGAAUGGGCUAGGGCAUACACCAAUGUACCAAACCCUAUCAAACUCCGAAUACCUUAUAUGUAAUCACAGCAGUCAGGCGGCGAGUGAUAAAAUCCGUCGUCAAGAGGGAAACAACCCAGACUACCAGCUAAGGUCCCUAAAUCUUACUUAAGUGGAAAACGAUGUGAAGUUACUUAAACAACCAGGAGGUUGGCUUAGAAGCAGCCAUCCUUUAAAGAAAGCGUAAUAGCUCACUGGUCUAGUGAUUUUGCGCGGAAAAUAUAACGGGGCUAAAGUAAGUACCGAAGCUGUAGACUUGCGCACAACUUAGAUUAUUUAAGUUUAGAAUAUGAGAAACUAAGUUAUAUUUUUACUGAUUUUUAUAGAGUAAAGAUAGAAAUAAAACUUAGUAAAAUCAGUAAAAAUAUUCUUAGGCUAAAGUUAAGUAGUUUAAGUUGUGUGCAAGUGGUAGGAGAGCGUUCUAUUUGCGUCGAAGGUAUACCGGUAAGGAGUGCUGGAGCGAAUAGAAGUGAGCAUGCAGGCAUGAGUAGCGAUAAUUAAUGUGAGAAUCAUUAACGCCGUAAACCCAAGGUUUCCUACGCGAUGCUCGUCAUCGUAGGGUUAGUCGGGUCCUAAGUCGAGUCCGAAAGGGGUAGACGAUGGCAAAUUGGUUAAUAUUCCAAUACCAACAUUAGUGUGCGAUGGAAGGACGCUUAGGGCUAAGGGGGCUAGCGGAUGGAAGUGCUAGUCUAA
This 1607-nucleotide ribosomal RNA is filed under the name Campylobacter jejuni. RNAcentral describes it as "partial 23S ribosomal RNA". It matches the Rfam family "Bacterial large subunit ribosomal RNA", at positions 17 to 1515 of the family's 2925-position model. Lineage: Bacteria; Pseudomonadati; Campylobacterota; Epsilonproteobacteria; Campylobacterales; Campylobacteraceae. The record is from RNAcentral.